Molecule: microRNA precursor, 58 nt
Filed under: Heliconius melpomene (postman butterfly)
Lineage: Eukaryota; Metazoa; Arthropoda; Insecta; Lepidoptera; Nymphalidae
Description: Hme-Mir-2-P4_pre stem-loop
Rfam family: mir-2 microRNA precursor family
About the family: The miRNAs are transcribed as ~70nt precursors (modelled here) and subsequently processed by the Dicer enzyme to give a ~22nt product. In this case the mature sequence comes from the 3' arm of the precursor. The extents of the hairpin precursors are not generally known and are estimated based on hairpin prediction.
Source: RNAcentral
CCGACAAAGUGGUUGUGGAAUGUUCUAUAUCUGCAUAUCACAGCCAGCUUUGUUGACU